RNAcentral lists this long non-coding RNA (272 nucleotides) under Nicotiana benthamiana. RNAcentral describes it as "long non-coding RNA (NBEN_LNC029268)". Lineage: Eukaryota; Viridiplantae; Streptophyta; Magnoliopsida; Solanales; Solanaceae. The record is from RNAcentral.
AUGAAGCUGACAUAAAAGAGUGAGCAGAUAGGAGGACCAAGUCUUGCACCAGUUAUCCAGGUAAGGGGUUUGAAAUGGGAUGUCUUGAAAUGAGUAAGCCACAUAAAUGCUAAUGUGUUGUGCCUGCAAAUGUCUCCUAAACAUUUAGUUGAUUCUGGAAAGUUGCCUUAACCUGUAUGAUUAGGCUCAAUUGGAGUUGACUAUGGAUGCAUUGCCUAUGACAAAAGUGCUAGAUGAGAAUGAUUAUCCAGUGGGGAGUUUUGAUAUACUUG